RNAcentral lists this ribosomal RNA (767 nucleotides) under Klebsiella sp. RLT01. Its description in RNAcentral is "Raoultella sp. RLT01 partial 23S ribosomal RNA". It matches the Rfam family "Bacterial large subunit ribosomal RNA", at positions 2181 to 2925 of the family's 2925-position model. The record is from RNAcentral. Lineage: Bacteria; Pseudomonadati; Pseudomonadota; Gammaproteobacteria; Enterobacterales; Enterobacteriaceae.
UGGAGCCAACCUUGAAAUACCACCCUUUAAUGUUUGAUGUUCUAACGUAGACCCGUGAUCCGGGUUGCGGACAGUGUCUGGUGGGUAGUUUGACUGGGGCGGUCUCCUCCCAAAGAGUAACGGAGGAGCACGAAGGUUAGCUAAUCCUGGUCGGACAUCAGGAGGUUAGUGCAAUGGCAUAAGCUAGCUUGACUGCGAGCGUGACGGCGCGAGCAGGUGCGAAAGCAGGUCAUAGUGAUCCGGUGGUUCUGAAUGGAAGGGCCAUCGCUCAACGGAUAAAAGGUACUCCGGGGAUAACAGGCUGAUACCGCCCAAGAGUUCAUAUCGACGGCGGUGUUUGGCACCUCGAUGUCGGCUCAUCACAUCCUGGGGCUGAAGUAGGUCCCAAGGGUAUGGCUGUUCGCCAUUUAAAGUGGUACGCGAGCUGGGUUUAGAACGUCGUGAGACAGUUCGGUCCCUAUCUGCCGUGGGCGCUGGAGAAUUGAGGGGGGCUGCUCCUAGUACGAGAGGACCGGAGUGGACGCAUCACUGGUGUUCGGGUUGUCAUGCCAAUGGCAUUGCCCGGUAGCUAAAUGCGGAAAAGAUAAGUGCUGAAAGCAUCUAAGCACGAAACUUGCCCCGAGAUGAGUUCUCCCUGACCCUUUAAGGGUCCUGAAGGAACGUUGAAGACGACGACGUUGAUAGGUCGGGUGUGUAAGCGUAGCGAUACGUUGAGCUAACCGAUACUAAUGAACCGUGAGGCUUAACCUUACAACGCCGAAGCUGUU